UCCGAGUUGACCCCGGCAGUCUCCCAUGAGUCCCCGCCCUUACGCGCUGGCAACAUGGAACGAGGGUUGCGCUCGUUGCGGGACUUAACCCAACAUCUCACGACACGAGCUGACGACAACCAUGCACCACCUGUGCACCUGCCCCGAAGGGCUGCCGUAUUUCUACGACAUUCAAGUGCAUGUCAAGCCCAGGUAAGGUUCUUCGCGUUGCGUCGAAUUAAACCACAUGCUCCACCGCUUGUGCGGGCCCCCGUCAAUUCCUUUGAGUUUCAGCCUUGCGGCCGUACUCCCCAGGCGGGGCACUUAAUGCGUUAGCUACGGCGCGGAAAACGUGGAAUGUCCCCCACACCUAGUGCCCAACGUUUACGGCAUGGACUAC
Molecule: unclassified non-coding RNA, 379 nt
Filed under: uncultured Actinomycetes bacterium
Lineage: Bacteria; Bacillati; Actinomycetota; Actinomycetes
Description: uncultured actinobacterium contains 16S-23S intergenic spacer region
Source: RNAcentral